UUCAUUAAUACUUUCUAGAAAAAUUUUAUCGCAAGUUGCUUGUAUAUGAGACAUUAUAUCUUCCCUAGCAGUAUUGUUUGCUUUGAUGUAGCAUCAUAGUAUCAAUAGUAGCACCGGAAAGGUUGACCUUAAAAAAAAUCUUCAUUAGCAAUGUCAAAGGAGAUGUCUUUAAAUUAACAACGAAUCUAUCGGUUUGGAAAGAAAAAUGCCGUCAAGGGCCCGAUCAUGAAUUUUUUUUAAUUCAGGAUCAUCCAACAGGAUUUUAUAAACUAGAGACCGCGCCACGUAAAGCUUCGCUCCAGAAAACUUUGGUAAUUUGAACUUUUAACAUGCGACGAGUCGUGUUACACAAUGUCUGUAUGCGUCUUUCACUCAACGCAUACUGCUUUGUGUCUUUAGGUACCAUUGACAAUUUAACGCCUGCAUCUUGUAGUUCUUGGACAAGUUUAUCAUUAACUAAUAUUCACUACCCUUGUUAGUUCUUAUUUU
This is a long non-coding RNA of Zophobas morio, 489 nucleotides long. RefSeq lists it as uncharacterized. The record is from RefSeq and is a predicted model, not a curated record. The transcript is spliced from 3 exons. Lineage: Eukaryota; Metazoa; Arthropoda; Insecta; Coleoptera; Tenebrionidae.